This 490-nucleotide ribosomal RNA is filed under the name uncultured bacterium. RNAcentral describes it as "partial 16S ribosomal RNA". It matches the Rfam family "Bacterial small subunit ribosomal RNA", at positions 28 to 507 of the family's 1533-position model. The record is from RNAcentral.
GAUGAACGCUAGCGAUAGGCUUAACACAUGCAAGUCGAGGGGCAGCAUGGUCUUAGCUUGCUAAGACUGAUGGCGACCGGCGCACGGGUGCGUAACGCGUAUGCAACUUGCCUCACAGAGGGGGAUAACCCGUCGAAAGACGGACUAAUACCGCGUACACUCUAUUUUGGGCAUCCAAGGUAGAGGAAAUGAAAUUCGCUGUGAGGUAGGCAUGCGUCCCAUUAGCUAGUUGGUGAGGUAACGGCUCACCAAGGCGACGAUGGGUAGGGGAACUGAGAGGUUGAACCCCCACACUGGUACUGAGACACGGACCAGACUCCUACGGGAGGCAGCAGUGAGGAAUAUUGGUCAAUGGGCGAGAGCCUGAACCAGCCAAGUCGCGUGAAGGAUGACUGUCUUAUGGAUUGUAAACUUCUUUUGUAGGGGAAUAAAGAGGGGCACGUGUGCCCCAGUGAAUGUACCCUACGAAUAAGCAUCGGCUAACUCCGUG